This 6918-nucleotide long non-coding RNA is filed under the name Olea europaea subsp. europaea. The record is from RNAcentral. Lineage: Eukaryota; Viridiplantae; Streptophyta; Magnoliopsida; Lamiales; Oleaceae.
CCAAAAAAAUGAACUUCAUUAAGAAAACAUUACAGGAUGAAUGACAAAAUCCUAAACAUUGAUGAGCAAUGGAAAAUUGAAAAGAAAUACUCAAAUCAUAGUUUGUCAGUCAGCAAUGUCCUAUCUUCUUAGCAUAAUGAUAAAACCAUAGUUGGUCUGCAAGUAGCGGCGAUGAUGCAACGCUUGGCCGCUGCGUGCGGAGGAGCAGCGAUGUCAUAGAUGAGAUAUGGUAGAGCUACUCGCAUCAUAACCUCCUCCGAAGGCAUCGCCACCCAUAGCCAAAGCCAAUACCAAAGCGGUAGCCAUGGCAUAGAUUUGAUCCUUUACCAAUCAAAAAGAAGAGUGGUAGAUGUGGGUAGGUAGUGAGGGGUAUAGAUAGAGAGAAGGUAGAGAUAAUGAUGAAGAUAGGGUUUGGUAUGAAUUGGAGGUGCGUAGGGUGAAUUUGUUAGGUUUAAUUGAAUUUUUAAUAAUUAUAAUUAUUAAAAUCUAAUUAUCACCUGAUUUGUGAAACAAAAAUUAAUUUCUCUUAUUUUUGAAAAUUAGUCUUUAAAUGUAGGUUUCUAGAUAAUUUUCCCUUUGUUUUAUAUAUUACUUCAUUCCAUUGAUUGUAUACUUUUCAUUAUGCUUUUCUCUUUCGGAAAAAAUAACUUUCUUUUACUUGACAAAAAAAUAUAAUUAAUCUCGAUAUCAUGCGUUCUGUGAAUAUAAAUUCAAGUUUGAUCAUAUAUUUUGUUGACCUCAAAAAAUGCAUCUAUAGAAUCUCGACUACAUUCUCUCUAGAUGUCACCUGCGUGCUGAAACACCCCAUUAGGUUGCAAAUGUAGUCAGUUGAGUAAAAUGUCCGACCAUCGUUAGUAUUCCUAUGGUCAAGUCAACAGCUAGACGAGAUAUAGAAUGAGUGCAAUAGAUGAGAGAGGAGGUUUGGUUAGGGUUAGAGUAACAUCGAAUGGACCAAGUGAGUUAAUGGAUCGAGCCUAAGCCCAAUAUGAGGUUGCGUAAUUCAAUAAGUCUAAUCCAAUUGAAUAAUAGAUGUCGAGUCGACAAAAGUGUGAUUGUAUAGUUUUAUUAUGCUUUUUAUUUUCGAAAAAAAGUAACUUUCUUUUACUUGAAAAAAAUGUAAUUAAUACUGAUAUCAUGCACUGAGUGAUUAUGAAUUCAAGUUUGAUCAUACAUUUCUUUCUGAAUUCUAGAAUAUAACUAUAUAAGUGAAUGUCAUACACAUAUAAUGUGAUCGUGUGUAUGUUUUCAUUAUGAAAGUCUGUUCAAGUGUAUAAAUAUUUAAGGUAAGGGAAAUGGGGGAGCCUGUUUCUAUUAUCGUCGAGUAACUUGGAUUUCAAUCUUUACCGUGCCGGGUAUAGUAUGCUAAUGCCCAAUAAUUAAGCUAAAGUAAUCCAAAAUGGGUGACAGAAGCAAUGACAGCUUCUCACAUGUGUGAGACCCGCACGAAUAAAAAAUGCAAGAAAAAGUAGGCCUAGACCCCUAUUGUGAGUGUUCAGUCAUGGAGGCCGUCAAAGUCUCCCCGUCAGUGUAGUAUCAUUGAAUGCGUAACUGUGGAUGUAUAGCUGGUUUAGCCUGGUUAAAUGUAUGCAUUUUUUGAUAAACUAUGGACAUGUAUACUUGGUGACCCCAUAGCACAUCGUUGGUAGAGUAAAGGAGUUUAGGUUCAUGGUUUGUAGCAGAGAGAACUGGCAGAGCAGUAGCAAUUGACGAAUUUGGUAUAGUGGGAAGUUGAUACUAGGUUUUUUGAUAAUCUGACGUAGCGGAAAUAUUAUAGGGAGGAUGAACAAUCGCAAAUUGAGAGAAUUCUCAAUGAAGAUUUUAUUGAAUUCCAGAACUACUGCCUCUAAGGGCUUACAACUGAUUAAAUAGUAGAAAAACCUAGGAAAAUCCGGAAAAUAAAAUAAAAGAUAUUUUUUUCCCAAAAAUGAAAAAUAUGAGAUAAUUACUAAGAUGAAAAAUACUUAUCUUCGGGAUCAUCCUCCAACAAACGGAAUCUAAAUCCGAAUUUCAUAGAAAGAGAUAUUGCAAAAAUGAAAAUUACAAUAAAUAGCAAAAACGAUUAAACGAGGGCCUAAACGAUGGAGUUUGCCCGAAAUUGGCCUUGCGUCAGGGUCAAAGGCUCUGAGUUUUAUUCCUUGGCUCGGCUCCAAUCAAAUUAGACUAGUGAUUUGCCAAAAACGAGCAAACCCAAAGUCAUCAUGAAAUCAUUUGCCCGUUUUGCCAACUUUUGCCUUGUGAUGGUCCCAUUUUGCCAUGAACUCUAAUCCCUUAUGCACUUCAUCAUUCUCCCCAGGGUGGGAAAAAUUCGCCCUCGAAUUUGACGGGAAAGGAGCUUCAUCAUCAUCACUAGAAUUAUCACCAUGAAAUGGCACCAAAUGCUUGAUAUGAAACACGUCAGAGGUACGAAUAUGGCUGGGCAGCUUUAAACGGUAAGCAUUUGGAUUGAUUUUCUCAAUGACCUCCAAUGGACCAAUCUUCUUCGCGGUAAGCUUGUUGUAUUCAUGAGCAGGAACAUGAUCCUUUGUUAACACCGCCCAAACAAAGUCACCUACCUCAAACUCAACAUGUCGGUGUUUGAGAUCCGCAGCACGCUUAUACUCAGCGACAGCAGCCUGCAGUUGAUCAUGAGUCUGUGAGUGAACCUGGUGUAGUUGUUGAAUAAAGUCUUCGGCCUUACCAUGCAUUUUAACAGAAGUAGAAACUGGAACUAGAUCAGGAGGACCACGAGGAACAAGGCCAUACACCACCUGGAAUGGACUAAAACCUGUACUUCGGUUAACAGCAUGAUUGUGAGCAAAUACUGCUUGACACAACUUCUGAUCCCAAGACUUAAUGUGAUCACCAACCAAACAACGUAAUAAAUCACCUAAGGAACGGUUAACAACCUCUGUUUGACCAUCUGUUUGAGGGUGAUAUGCACUACUGAAGUCCAGUCGUGUAUUCACAGAGCGCCAUAGGCUGCGCCAAAAGUGGUUGAGAAAACAAGUAUCCCGAUCGGACACAAUAGAUGUAGGCAGUCCAUGAAGGCGAUAAACUUCACGAAAAUACAGUAAGGCUACAUUGACAGCAUCUGUAGUCUUCUUGCAGGGGAUGAAAUGUACCAUUUUUGAAAACCGAUCAACCACUACGAAGAUUGAAUCAAAACCACGCUGGGUCCUGGGAAGUCCCACAACGAAAUCCAUGCUCACAUCUGUCCAAGGCUGGGUUGGGAUAGGUAGGGGGCAUAUACAAACCCGCAUUGGUUGCCUUGCCCUUGGCCAAGUGACAAACCCGACAACGCUCCACAAACUUGCUGACAUCCUUGCGCAAUGAUGGCCAAAAGCAAGAAGCAGCAACAAGCUGCAAUGUUCAGUCACGACCCACAUGGCCCUCAUUAUGCAACUCUUGAAUGAUCUUCAACCUCAAACUGCCCUCUGGAACACACAACUGAUUGCCAUGAAAAAGANGAAUAAUUUUUCUAUGAGUGUGUCAGCCGCGCCUUUUUGGAUAAGAAGCAAACAGUGUAGACUCCGAGGACUCCGCUGCUGCAAACAACCACUUUUUUAGGUGAAUUUGGGAGGUCCAUAGGGGUGAUGCGCAUGAGGAGCAACAAAUUGAAACUAAGUUGGGAGUUAAUUUGUGAAAUUGCUAUGAAAAUUGAAAUGAAAUUGAAGAAUGUAACUUAAGCUUAAAGAUGUUAGCACCUAAUUUUUCUUCCUAUCUUCUCUCACCCUUUUUUUCGCCUCCCUUUUUCCUCGUUUCUGCUCUCUGUCCGCUGCUUCCUGUUUUUAGCCUUUGUUUCUAUCAAAUGAAGAAAAUGGAUACAAGUGCAUGCUAGGUAGUGGAGCGCUAACUCCAAUUUUUGCAAAGGAAGCCCCAAAUUUUCUAUUCUAUCAAACAUUUGGUUGAUAACUUCCAAUAAUAGAUAAGUAAAUCCUCAAAUUUCUAUGUAUAAUAAGAGACUAGCAAGUGAAGUUCUAAACUUAAAAUAAAGGAAAAUUGUGUGAUUUAUGAUUGACAGAAAUAGUGUGAUUUGUGCUAAGAAAACUUAGUGACCGUGAUUGAUUAAUUGUGUAGUUUGUAAUUAAUAAAUGUAACAUUGUAUGUCUUUAACAUUUAUAAUUAAUAAUUCCGUGACUAUGUAUUCUUAAUUGUCCAUGUAUGUAUGUGACUAGGUAUGUGUAAGUUUUUAUUGUUUGUGACAAGAUCUAUGUAAGUUAUUAUUAUUUGUGACCAUAUUUGUCUUUAGUGUAAUUGUUUGUGAUCAGAUUUAACUUAAUUUUGAUUGUAUGUGACCAGGUAUUUCUUAAAUGUGAUCGUUAGUGACCAAGUCUUUCUUAAAUAUGACUAUUUGUGAAACAAGAUUUAUGUAAGCUAUUAUUAUUUGUGAUCAUGUAUGUCUUUAGUGUGAUUGUUUGUGAUCGGUUUUAACUUAAUUUUGAUUGUAUAUGACUACGUAUUUCUUAAAUGUGAUCGUUAGUGACCAAGUCUUUCUUAAAUAUGACUAUUUGUGACAUAACCUAUCUUAAUUUUGAUUAUAUAUGAUUAGUGUCGCAUUGAAUAUGACUAUAUGUGACCAUGUCUAUGUUAACAGUGUUAUGUAAUCUAAUAUGCUAAUGAUGACUUUUGUGUGACCAAUUUUUGUUAAUUAUGUCUAUAUGUGUGACCUUUUAUAUAUUUAUUGUGACUCUUUGUAACCAAGUUUGUGUUAUUUGUGACUGUCUGUGAUCAGGUGUAUUUUCAGUGUGAAUAUGUACGACUUGGUAAUGCUUUCAUUGUGACUUUUGUUAUCUAACUAUGACGUAUUAUUGUCUGACUGCAACUUACAUUCAUCAAAUUUGUAAUUGUAUGUAACCAAGUCACUAACUUAUGUUAUAUGUGACUAACUGUGAUCAAAUUUAUCUUCAGUAUGAUUGUCUGUAACCAUCUAAUUUUUGACCAAGUCAUCAACAUGUGUUAUUUAUGUGACCAGAUUUAUCUGUAGUAUGAAUAAAUGUGACCAAAUUUGUCUUCAGUAUGACUAUCUGUAACCAGGUCAUCUUAACUGUGAUGAUAUACAACUUGAUAUCUGAUCAAGUCACAAUUGAUCACAAUUAACACAGAAUUGGUCACAAUCAAUCACAAUAAACACAUAAUUGAUCACAGAAAAUCACGACAUACCAUAUAUCAGCACCACAAUAUACCACCUUCAACUUAAAUCCAUGACAAUGAAUUCCCAAGAAGAAUGUAAAUUUCCCAAUUCAUGUUUAUCUAAAACUUUUCUUUGCUACUCUAAAUGACCAUUCAAAAUCCCCCCCCCCCCCUUCGAUCGUCAUAAUCAUUUCCUUAAAAAGGUAGAGUACCAGAGUCCAAUUGUAUGAAAUUCUAGUCAAUCACCCACGGAAAAGAGGCAUCAAUCCUUAGCGCCGUCAAUGCUACUUGCAGAAAAGUGUGAUAUUUCCAAGAUCCCAGGUUGGAGAUCACCUUGAGAUCUAUUUUGCAAAAGAACAUUAACUAUAUAAAAUUGCAAUUAAGCAAUCCAAAACCAAGAAAAAAUAUUCCACAAUUGCUCAUGAUGAAAAAUUUGUACAAUAAAAGUGAUGUUACUUUCAUUUCUCAGCCUACAAAUAUUAAGAUAGUCAUAUCCUACCUACGAUACACAAUAUACACAAUAACUGAAUAUGAACUGAAAGUAAUUAGCAUAAUGUGAAAAGAAAAAAAAAUCCCUUAUGUUUUAGUAUGACAUCAUUUGCAUAUGAGUACUACAUGUAGAGGACAUCAAAGCCAUAUCUAGAUCUUCAUUCAUUUCUCUUCAAAUUCACCAUCAAUGAGAAUAGGUUUACUCUUUUUUGAAGAGGAACUAGUACCUCGGCCAGCUUUAUAAAAGAAGUCACCUUGUGGCUGCCAUACAAUGUUCUCACAACUUGCACAACAAUGUGUUUAGAUCUUGUAUCCACCAAACUGCCUCCUACAUGCAAGGCAUUCUUCUUGCUCAAAUAAAUUAAUACACACAUAAAUCAUACGUGCUCAUACUAAUUACUAUUGGACCAUUUCAUGAUUGGAGAUCUAAAUAAACAUUAGCUAGCAAAUAACAAAACAAAAAGAGUAGGGAUGACAAAUCUAAAUGUAAGAAAAAAGAACCGAUUUAAAUUUAUGGGAACUUUUGCUUUGGUAGUACUGUAAAAAGGAUAUUCAGCAGGGUCUACAUGAAUAAGGCAUCCUGUGCACAUACUUUAUAUUUUGGUAUUUUAAUUAACUCCAUAAAUAGGUGCUCAGCAUCUGGAAUGAAGUUCUAAGCAUGAAAAUUCCAAUUGGAUACAGAUAUGGUUGAACAUUUAUGAGGAUUUCUUGCUUGAUUAAGCUGUGCUGGACAAGUUACAAUUUGAAAACUGACUAAUGGGUAACUAAGGGAACAAACUGUAACAUGAAUAGCAAAUUCAUACGUGUCUUAUAAAAUUAUUUUGAUUAUAACUAUCCAUGCUUUUUUUCUGUUUUUUUGCCAACAGAGCAUUUUUCAUAAUCAAACGUAACACUUAAAAAUCUUUCAUUGAGAAAAAGCCAAAAAAAUGAACUUCAUUAAGAAAACAUUACAGGAUGAAUGACAAAAUCCUAAACAUUGAUGAGCAAUGGAAAAUUGAAAAGAAAUACUCAAAUCAUAGUUUGUCAGUCAGCAAUGUCCUAUCUUCUUAACAUAAUGAUAAAACCAUAGUUGGUCUGCAAGUAGCGACGACGAUGCAACGCUUGGCUGCUGCGUGCAAAGGAGCAGUGACGUCAUAGACGAGAUAUGGUAGAGCUACUCGCAUCAUAACCUCCUCCGAAGGCGUCGCCACCCAUAGCCAAAGCCAAUACCAAAGCGGUAGCCAUGGCAUAGAUUUGAUCCUUUACCGAUCAAAAAGAAGAGUGGUAGAGGUGGGUAGGUAGUGAGGGGUAUAGAUAGAGAGAAGGUAGAGAGAAUGAUGA